GUCCCGGUAGCUCAGUCGGUAGAGCGCAUGACUGUUAAUCAUGAUGUCAGAGGUUCGAGUCCUCUCCGGGACG
This 73-nucleotide transfer RNA is filed under the name Nanobdellota archaeon. Its description in RNAcentral is "tRNA-Asn". It matches the Rfam family "tRNA". Rfam says of the family: Transfer RNA (tRNA) molecules are approximately 80 nucleotides in length. Their secondary structure includes four short double-helical elements and three loops (D, anti-codon, and T loops). Lineage: Archaea; Nanobdellati; Nanobdellota. RNAcentral also lists the same sequence under 1 other name. The record is from RNAcentral.